AGCCCCAGCCCAGCUCCCUGCCGGAUGCGUUCUUGCUCCAGUCCAGGGCUCAGCGUGAGCCUCUAGCUCCCCCCGCCGCCGCUUCUGGGCGCACAAGAUCGGCGCCUGCAAUUCCCAGGACGACAAGGUGGAAAAGUGAAAGGAAAAGCAGAGGAAAUACACCCGGAUCCAAGUACCCCUGGCCCUCAUGACCCGACCCCUGGAGAAGCAGCCAAGUUACCCGACAUCGUGGUCAGCAGGAGCUGGGCUGGAGACUGGAUGCUGCAGCUUCAGAGACUCAGAACCUAGGAGGGCUCCUGUGCAGGGAGAAAGGCAGAGAUGCGACAUUUUUAAAGUUUCACAAAACACGAGGCAGCACCCAGGUCCCUGGAGUAGGAGACACACAGAAUUAAUGUUUUAUACCUUCGGGUAUAGGUUUGAGUUUUUCCCCCCUCAUGCCAAGUAUUUAAAACCUCUAGAAACCCAUGAUUUGACAAUCAAUGAUUGCGCGAUACUUUCAAUUUGAAUAUUCAAAGGUUUAACAAAAUGGACUAUCUUCUGCAGAAAUCCUGCACACAGGCACCCCACAGAGAGUCCAGAGAAACAGGGAGUGAGAGGCCUUUGGGUCCUGACCCUUGCUUUUUCUCUAUUUUCAACAUUUUGUCCACCUUCCCACAGACAGAGCAGGUGUCUUCAAAGAUAUUCCAUGUUCCUGCCUCAAAGGUAGCUCAGAAGCCCCCACUGACCUAGGCUACUCCCCGGGGAUCAUCCGAGCCAGGCUGGCUAGCCACAAGGAUUCUCACCUGUCCAAUCUCUAUUUUAAGGGAGAAAUCUCAGGUUUUGGAAAGUGAACAUGGCAGCCAGUGGGUGUGGCACAGCAAGUGGCCACUUUGGGCCCAGGUGGCAGGCCAGAGGACAGCAGAGGCCUAAGCUUUGCAUUUCAUAUUCCCCUGACCCUGCCUGACACUUGCGGGCUUCCCUCUUGGUCCAUCCUCCCACCUACUAGGCCGCAGACACUGGGCUUCCAGCAAGCAGUCCCUGUGCAUCAGCCCUCCCUCUACUCCUUGGAGACCUGUGGAUCGUCACCACUGCCCUUGGCCGGCUGAGAUUUCUCUAGGCUGGGAUUCCAUCACUGCACUGCGGCAUUCCAGAUCCCCCCCUUCUUCCUCUGCACCCUAGCCUUUUUGCCUCAUAGCACCCCUGCUUGUUUUAGAGAAGGAUAUGGGGUUUAUUUCGAAGGCUCUGAAGAGAGAGGUAGGGGGAAUUUAGAGUCAAGCUGCCUCAUUGAACUCCUCAUGUGUAACUCGGACCUGUGCUGAUGCACAUUUCCCAAGCUCUGCCUGGGUUGCUCUCUGGCCUGUGAUUUGAAAGAUGGGAGAGACUCGGGUGAAGUAGAAUGCCAGGCCAAGUCUCCACAGAGAGACAGAAGGGUCCUCCUUUGCAAAAACAACAAUAACAACAAAAAAACAACCCCCCCAAAAAACCCCAAAAAACAAAAACCCCCAAAACAAAAAACAAAACUAGAUAUUUCCAGAACUGCAGACAACAUGAUAGUACAGUUCUCUAUUUUUUAAUCCUUGAGUUCUCUGAAAUGAAAAAGGAAAGUAAGCUUUAGUUUCAAAGACCUUUAGAAAAAAACUGAAAAAUUAAAAUGUACCAAAUAUAGUGUGUUAGAUAUAGGAUAUAAUAAUCAACUCAGCUAAAAGGGCUUCUGGGGAUAAUAAAAGCAUGAUGAGUCGAACUGUGUGUCAGGCAGGUGGAGCCACAUAUCUGGGAGAGGAUCAAGGUUUGGGACACUUGAGGUAGUAUCUAGUGGUGGAGGGUGGAGUAAGGUGUGGCUGUAUUUGGUCCAGCUGGCAUUUAUCAGCUACUGGAGUCUAUUUCUGCAAAGCCAGGCCUAAGGACCAGGCCAGGGAAGGGUUCUAGGGUCUGAGGGAAACCCUUCCCUGGCACCACUUCUUCCUGCAUGCAGUGUUUUCCAUGGUCUCUUUUCUCCUUUUUGUCUUGGUCUUAUUUUUGGCUCGCUUUUAAGAAGCUUUCCUCUUUGUCCCUUUGGCUUUUUUGUUUGUUCUUCCCCACAUUUUCUAAACCCUUGUUUUUCUUUCUAUUGAUGCAUUUCUUUGCUUCCAGCUUGCACUCUUUUCUCUCUCUGGUUCUAUAUGUGCCUUUCUUUGCCCUAUUCUGGAGCACUGUCUCGUUGUUUCAGAAUAAAUGUUCUUCCUCAGCUCUCCAUACACAUAUAAAUGGGCAGAGGUGGCCUGAGGCCACAGUUUUCCCUUGGCAACAUCAAGGACAUUGAUGCUAGCAACUACAGAAAACUAUUUCAUCAGGCCCAUUUUCAGAAUCUUCCCCCUGCCAUCUAUACUACAGGCCAACCAAACAUUAAGGAAUUUUGAUUCUUGUUCUUGUAACUGAAGAGCCCCAGAACUGACAUUUCAGAGCCAAAAGCCAUGUUUGAGGAGGCAAGAGACAAUACUUUCUCAGUGGGGCCCCCUUUCAUAUCUGUGUGUGUCUGAGAAAGGGGAGAGAGAGAGAGAGAGAGAGAGAGAGAGAGAGAGAGAGAGAGAGAGAAGAGAGAGGAAGAUACCCAGAGUAACCAGCCAUUUUUCCCCAGAGAUUCCAAAUACCUAUAGAACUGGAUACUCUUCUUGCUUGCUCAUCCAUCCAUCCAUCCAUCCAUCCAUCCAUCCAUCCAUCCAUUCAUCCAUCUAUCUAUCCAUCCAUUUUGGUGCUGAGAUAGAAUCCAGGGCAUGCUGGGUAAGCCCUCUACAAUUGACCUACAUUUCCAGCUCAUAGAAGAUUAUUUAAAGUUCUCAUCUGUUGUUUCCUGGGUGCGAGACCUAUGUUGUGCAGCAUUCCCACCAUACCAUUGAAGAAGCUGACUUAGAGGGAUGAACAUCUUGCCAAGUUUAGCAAGCACACAAAUGACAGAACUGGGGUUCCAACUUUUCUAAGUCUCACUCCCAAGUCCUUGCUGUAUUAUCAGUUUGUUCAAGGAGCUUAUGACUGCAGCAUACUGAUAUGAAAAUAUUCUAGAAACAUAGAAGAAGCAACUGGCUAGAGGUGAAGACAAGCUGUUCAUUAUGCUGAUUGUGGUUUGCGUGUUGGAACCGAACCCUCUUCCUGGGGGCUUGUUGCUUGGUGGAGUAAGAAAUUGUGGGGUCUGAUGGGCUGUCACAGGCUCCUUUGCUUAUACCACAGUAUCUCAAUGUUGGGUGUUAGAAGAGACCUUGACAUGCUGAGAGGGACUGACAUCUUGGUCAGUGGCUGUCUAGCUUGUCAUUCUAUUGCUGGAUCAUAGAAAUUUCUGUGGGUCUAUUUGUAAGGCAUAUUUUGCCAUUAUUGGAAUCUUUAAAUGGAGUGAUGAGUGACUGAUCCAUAAGCCAACUAUAUGUUCCUUGAGCACCAGGUAUAUACCAGGCAGGGCAAUGAGUACCAGGAAUAUGAAGAUAAGUAAGCCUUGGUUUCCUACCCGCAAUGGCUCUGUUCUACCACGCUAAGCACAUUGCUGCUUUCCUAUUGUGGCUUCAUUCACACAUUCAUUCACCAUUUAUUCAGUAACCAUAGUUGUUUCCUCUGACCAAUCAGUGCUUGCUUUCCACUCAAACCAUUCCUGAAAGCCACUGUCCCCAGCUUUUCCCAUUCUUCAUAAAUCAGCUUUUCAGAUCUCUGCUUUUCCAUGCCCAAGGUCAGAAAUUCUUUAGUUCCUCACUGGUCUUUCAUAAAGUCAGUCUGCAGUGCCUGCAGUGAAUAGAAUGGAUAUUUUUAAUGCGUAAAGUUGAAUGUUUUUAACUGAAAACUGAAAAAUAUUGGUGGUCUUUUGUAUGAGAAUAACUGCACAGCAUUAUGCUUUUCCCUCCAAUGUAGGUUUUAUUAAACUUAGACUUGUACAUAUUAAAAGAUCUUUGGUAUAAGGAAAGGUGUGGUUUAUUCCUUCCAAAUUUGACUAUAGCCCUUUAGUAAUGCAAAGUUCUUUUGCCACCUAGAAUUUGGGACACUGUUACUGAAUGCUGUGGGAAAUAUCAAGUUCCCAAAAGUUGAAUACAUAGAAGAAAGAAGUAUUUAUUGGUCCUUAGGAUACACAUUUGGUCCAUGGGAAAAUAGCCAAGAAGCUAGUAGAUGCAGGUGAUGUAAGAUUUUGUACAUAGUUUCUCCCUCAUAGUAUAUAUUCAGAAUUUAGACUUUACUAAGAAAAACUUAUGAUGAUAGUUUACAUAAUUGACCCAAAUAUAACAAUAUAUUGCUUGUAACAUUUCUGUUUUACUUAAAACAUUUUUAUUGUACCAUUUCCUAACAUAUAAAAGUGUGUAGAGAAUACUGUCAUGAAAAUUGUGAAUGUAUCACCCAGGGUGAGGAAUAAAAUGGCUGAGUGAUCAUACAUUUAUGAACUACUAAGCAUUAGAACUUCUGGAUUAUUCCACUCUAGAUAUUUGGUUAAGGGAAAAGUCUAUCAUUUCUCUUAAUGUAACACAUAUUAUUUCUUUGGUUUACAGAUUUUCCUUUGGGAUGUGUAGCUUUUCUCCUGUUCUCAUAAUCUACUGACAAUGCAUUGCAUUUUGCAAACCUCUGUGUCUUAUUUCAUCAGAGGUCAUUGUUAAAAGAUGUUUAUAUGUCACAGAUCUAAUAAAACAUGAUGCCAGGGUUUGAAAAUAA
Molecule: non-coding RNA, 4632 nt
Organism: Cricetulus griseus (Chinese hamster)
Lineage: Eukaryota; Metazoa; Chordata; Mammalia; Rodentia; Cricetidae
Source: RefSeq, a predicted model, not a curated record